This 530-nucleotide ribosomal RNA is filed under the name Variolipallium sp. MNHN IM 2013-60013. RNAcentral's name for it is "partial large subunit ribosomal RNA". It matches the Rfam family "Bacterial large subunit ribosomal RNA", at positions 1815 to 2619 of the family's 2925-position model. Lineage: Eukaryota; Metazoa; Mollusca; Gastropoda; Littorinimorpha; Velutinidae. The record is from RNAcentral.
AUGGCUCUUUGAAUCCUCAGUAUAAAGAGUCUAGCCUGCCCGGUGAAAUUUACAUUUAACGGCCGCGGUACUCUGACCGUGCGAAGGUAGCAUAAUCAUUUGUCUUAUAAUUGAAGUCUAGAAUGAAUGGUUUCACAAGAGUAAAGCUGUCUCUUUCUUUUUGCUAGAACUUUAUGACUAAGUUAAAAAGCUUAGAUACAAUUAAAAGACGAGAAGACCCUAUCGAGCUUAAGGAAAAUUUCAGAAUCUUUAACAUUAAUGGAAAGGGGAUAUCAGAUAAAACUUUGGUUGGGGCGACCCGAGAACAAAUAAAGCUUCUCAUGUAUAAAAAACUCUUAGGUUUAGACCCAUUAAUAAUGAUUAAAAAAAUUAGUUACCGUAGGGAUAACAGCAUAAUCUUUUUUGAGAGUUCAAAUCGAAAAAGAGGUUUGUGACCUCGAUGUUGGACCAAGAUAACCUAAAGAUGCAGAAGUCUUUAAAGGUUGGUCUGUUCGACCAUUAAAAUCUUACGUGAUCUGAGUUCAGACCGG